Carassius gibelio (silver crucian carp) is the source of this 260-nucleotide long non-coding RNA. RefSeq lists it as uncharacterized. The record is from RefSeq and is a predicted model, not a curated record. NCBI's taxonomy places the organism in Eukaryota, Metazoa, Chordata, Actinopteri, Cypriniformes, Cyprinidae. The transcript is spliced from 4 exons.
GCAGGCAUCAGUUUAUCAGGCGGCCUGCGGUGCACUUACAGCUCAAACUGUGAAGCCAUAUUGUUGUAAGGUUGAUGACAAAUGAGGUCAUGGCCUGUUUCAGUAUGAAGUGGGGGAAGGGGAAGCUUGCUUUCACCAAGAUCAAUCUGUACACUGUUGUCACAGAGAGUGUCCAGAAAACAUCAAAAGAGACGGGGCAAAUACUGCAGCAGCCACUGCCUUUUGUUUAAAAUAUGCCCCAGCAGAGCCGUCGCAAGAAG